GACGAACGCUGGCGGCGUGCUUAACACAUGCAAGUCGAACGGAAAGGCCUUUUCGGAGGUACUCGAGUGGCGAACGGGUGAGUAACACGUGGGUGAUCUGCCCUGCACUCUGGGAUAAGCCUGGGAAACUGGGUCUAAUACCGGAUAGGACCGCACUUUAGUGUGUGUGGUGGAAAGUUUUUUCGGUGUAGGAUGAGCCCGCGGCCUAUCAGCUUGUUGGUGGGGUAAUGGCCUACCGAGGCGGCGACGGGUAGCCGGACUGAGAGGUUGGUCGGCCACAUUGGGACUGAGAUACGGCCCAGACUCCGACGGGAGGCAGCAGUGGGGAAGAUUGCACAAGGGGCGCAAGCCUGAUGCAGCGACGCCGCGUGGGGGAUGACGGCCUUCGGGUUGUAAACUCCUUUCGCCAGGGACGAAGCGUUUUGUGACGGUACCUGGAGAAGAAGCACCGGCUAACUACGUG
RNAcentral lists this ribosomal RNA (463 nucleotides) under uncultured bacterium. RNAcentral describes it as "partial 16S ribosomal RNA". It matches the Rfam family "Bacterial small subunit ribosomal RNA", at positions 28 to 507 of the family's 1533-position model. The record is from RNAcentral.